UACGUAGGGCGCAAGCGUUGUCCGGAAUUAUUGGGCGUAAAGAGCUCGUAGGCGGUCUGUCGCGUCUGGUGUGAAAUCCCGAGGCUCAACCUCGGGCUUGCAUCGGGUACGGGCGGACUAGAGUGCUGUAGGGGAGACUGGAAUUCCUGGUGUAGCGGUGGAAUGCGCAGAUAUCAGGAGGAACACCGAUGGCGAAGGCAGGUCUCUGGGCAGUUACUGACGCUGAGGAGCGAAAGCAUGGGGAGCGAACGGG
This 253-nucleotide ribosomal RNA is filed under the name uncultured bacterium. Its description in RNAcentral is "partial 16S ribosomal RNA". It matches the Rfam family "Bacterial small subunit ribosomal RNA", at positions 524 to 776 of the family's 1533-position model. The record is from RNAcentral.